RNAcentral lists this ribosomal RNA (253 nucleotides) under uncultured bacterium. Its description in RNAcentral is "partial 16S ribosomal RNA". It matches the Rfam family "Bacterial small subunit ribosomal RNA", at positions 524 to 776 of the family's 1533-position model. The record is from RNAcentral.
UACGUAGGGGGCUAGCGUUGUCCGGAUUUAUUGGGCGUAAAGAGCGUGUAGGCGGCCAGAUAGGUCUGCUGUGAAAACUCGAGGCUCAACCUCGAGAUGUCGGCGGAAACCAUUUGGCUAGAGUCCGGAAGAGGAAAGUGGAAUUCCUGGUGUAGCGGUGAAAUGCGCAGAUAUCAGGAAGAACACCCGUGGCGAAGGCGGCUUUCUGGGACGGUACUGACGCUGAGACGUGAAAGCGUGGGGAGCGAACAGG